GGAUCAUUAGCUCAAUUGGUUAGGGCAGCCGCCUCAUAAGCGGAAGAUUUGCAGGUUCGAGUCCUGCAUGAUCCA
RNAcentral lists this transfer RNA (75 nucleotides) under Caudoviricetes sp. Its description in RNAcentral is "tRNA-Met". It matches the Rfam family "tRNA". Rfam says of the family: Transfer RNA (tRNA) molecules are approximately 80 nucleotides in length. Their secondary structure includes four short double-helical elements and three loops (D, anti-codon, and T loops). Lineage: Duplodnaviria; Heunggongvirae; Uroviricota; Caudoviricetes. The record is from RNAcentral. RNAcentral also lists the same sequence under 1 other name.